GAUGAACGCUGGCGGCGUGCCUAAUACAUGCAAGUCGAGCGAACAGACGAGGAGCUUGCUCCUCUGACGUUAGCGGCGGACGGGUGAGUAACACGUGGAUAACCUACCUAUAAGACUGGGAAAACUUCGGGAAACCGGAGCUAAUACCGGAUAAUAUAUUGAACCGCAUGGUUCAAUAGUGAAAGACGGUUUUGCUGUCACUUAUAGAUGGAUCCGCGCCGCAUUAGCUAGUUGGUAAGGUAACGGCUUACCAAGGCAACGAUGCGUAGCCGACCUGAGAGGGUGAUCGGCCACACUGGAACUGAGACACGGUCCAGACUCCUACGGGAGGCAGCAGUAGGGAAUCUUCCGCAAUGGGCGAAAGCCUGACGGAGCAACGCCGCGUGAGUGAUGAAGGUCUUCGGAUCGUAAAACUCUGUUAUUAGGGAAGAACAAAUGUGUAAGUAACUAUGCACGUCUUGACGGUACCUAAUCAGAAAGCCACGGCUAACUACGUGC
RNAcentral lists this ribosomal RNA (498 nucleotides) under uncultured bacterium. RNAcentral's name for it is "partial 16S ribosomal RNA". It matches the Rfam family "Bacterial small subunit ribosomal RNA", at positions 28 to 508 of the family's 1533-position model. The record is from RNAcentral.